Long non-coding RNA from Syngnathus acus (greater pipefish), 196 nucleotides. RefSeq lists it as uncharacterized. Lineage: Eukaryota; Metazoa; Chordata; Actinopteri; Syngnathiformes; Syngnathidae. The record is from RefSeq and is a predicted model, not a curated record. The transcript has 2 exons.
UUGUAAAACAAUGAGCUGGGACCCUCCGCACUGAUUAACCAGUUGCUGAGGUGACCACCAAACAUGUCCAAUGUCAACCCCACCCUGCUUUCUCGCAAUAAAUGCUCUCUUGCAAGAAUCCAAAGUCAGACCUCAUUCGAUCAUCGCUGUACGCACAGCGACAAAUGACUCUCCACUUGCAAGUGCUCAAAAAGGG